UACGUAGGGGGCAAGCGUUGUCCGGAAUCAUUGGGCGUAAAGCGAGCGUAGGCGGCCCGAUAAGUCUGCUGUAAAAGUCAACGGCUCAACCGUUGAAAGCCGGUGGAUACUGUCGGGCUAGAGUUCGGAAGAGGCGAGUGGAAUUCCUGGUGUAGCGGUGGAAUGCGCAGAUAUCAGGAGGAACACCAAUAGCGAAGGCAGCUCGCUGGGACGUUACUGACGCUGAGGAGCGAAAGCAUGGGGAGCGAACAGG
Molecule: ribosomal RNA, 253 nt
Filed under: uncultured bacterium
Lineage: Bacteria
Description: partial 16S ribosomal RNA
Rfam family: Bacterial small subunit ribosomal RNA
Source: RNAcentral